RNAcentral lists this long non-coding RNA (1048 nucleotides) under Bemisia tabaci. RNAcentral describes it as "lncRNA ENSSSA3NGG012805". The record is from RNAcentral. Lineage: Eukaryota; Metazoa; Arthropoda; Insecta; Hemiptera; Aleyrodidae.
AUUAUUUUACUUUGUAACCAUCUGCUCAGGCCCGUCGGAAUUGGAGUUACUCGGUGUGUUUUAAUUUUACUCUUUUUUCUGUCAUUUCUCCCUGAGUUGUCUCAAAUUUAAAGAGUGAAACUUGACUUCUGCUCAUAGUUGGUGAGAAUUUUUUACAGACAUGUCUGAAUAAAAUCUUACCUCUUGUCAGGUCAAAUGUUAAAUCUUAUACGAAAUAGUCGCUCAGUCUUCUUGUUUCGUGAUUUUUCCAUUCUCUCGCGCUCCAUUCCACCCUCUACCAGAUAGCUUUAAGUCUUCAUUCAGUCACAGAUACAUUGUAAGCUCUUCAAACUAUUAUCUGUGAGCACAAACGCGUUCUAUGCAGUGCUUGAUGAUCUAAUGCGAGGGAAGCACAAGAGUAGAAAAAACAAGAAAAAAACUGCUAACUAUGUUACAAAGAAAGCUAAAGUUUCACUAUCAUGGGCUAAGUACUUCCCUACUUUUAACAAGUUUGUGAUCUCCGCGAUGAGUCGCAGCAAUGCCUCAUGCAGCUCAACGCCGCAAAAAUUUGAUGAGACUGUAACAGUUACAAGUAUGGACAGCGAUGAUGAUGUUGUCAUUCUUGACAUGCCUGAGAGAGACGAUGUUCAGGUACUUUAUGACAGCCACCAACAGAAUGAUCAGCGCCGAUAUUUUCUUAAAAACGAAGAGGAUUUCCAGUCCCAGAGAACUCUCUCUGCUGCUGAAAUCAAGGAAGCAGCCAAGCAAGGGAAAGAAAAGUAUGAGGAAAUUCGUCAAGAACAAUUUACAAGUUUGGCGAAGAAAUAUUUGCAAAUGGUAAGUUCUCAAUUUUUCCUUACUUCAUCAAGAGACAUAUUUUAAGAGGAGCUCAUGACUCUUUUCAUUUUAGUAAAAGUAAGUCAAUUAAAGAUACAUAAAUGAGAGCCGCUUUUACAGCACUAUUUGGUGCUCUGCAACACUCAUAUUUAGGUCCCCAUCCUUUAACUUAUAAAAACAAAAUAGUUUAAUGCUCGAGCAUUAAACUCCUCAGAGAUCUCCUCAACCCCUU